UCCCUGGUUGUAACUACGCGGGUAACUAUAUCGCGCUGUAGUAUAUACCGUGACAACUACACCGCGUAGUCUACGGGUACAGUUUAUAUGGGAGUCGGUCGUAUAACGUUUACGUCAUACGAGGCGAGCUGCUGCUUCUGCGAGUGCUUGCAUGCGGAAACGCACCCGUAACUCGUCCCUGUGUCUACGAUCGCGCUUAAUUGGCUGCGGGUUUCGGAUCCUUGAAACUCAGACGAUUUUGGAGGAUUAACUUUGGAUUUUGGAAUCCUGCUGACAUUUUUCGCGAUUUAAAACAAGUAUACCGAGUAAUUUCGUUAGUUCGCGCGGCAUCCUCUUCUCUCCUCGUGCCACGGACAAGGGAGAAAGCUAUUUCACCAUCACGAUCACUCCCGUUCGGCUGCAUCGUUCUCAAAUUGUCUAGUUUCAAAGAAUUUCUAAAACGAACAGGUUUUUUCAUCGUCUUCCAUUAUAUUUUCUAUUUCUUUAUUUUGGUAGGCACCUUUUAUUCGAUAUACACGAUUGUUUUUAUAAUCAACGUUUUUGUUCUCUUUUUUCUUAAUUCGAUUAGGUUAUAGGCUAAGCAGAGUUCUUUAAGUCAGAGGAAUAUUUUAAUCGAGCAAAAUACGAUUAUAAAUAAUUUUUAAGAAAUCUACAUUUGAAAAUACGAUGUUACUGAUUGACGUGACAAACACAGUGAAAUAUAUUGUAUGUUCAUAUUUAUCCAGAAACUUCUACUUAUCAAAAAGGAAGGUGUUUGUUCAACUAAUCUUAAUAUUGUUAGUUGUAAUUAUCAUAAUGCAGUAACAUGUAUAUAUUACUUUAUUUUCGUAGAUUCAAAAGUAGCUGGUACAGUAAGACAAAUAUCUGAAUGAUCUAUUUUUCGGAUUCUGAGGAAACUUGAUAUUAGCGAAAACGAUUUACUCGGAUGAAUCGAUGGUUGAGUAUCAAACUUGUGACGAGCUGGCGUUCAAUAAUGACGGAGGGAACCUUGUAAUGCUUCCUCGACCAUGUGGUUAUCGAUUAUAAAAUGUAAGAAUGAUCCAUCAAAAAUAGAACGCUGCAACAGUAAUACGACGCCCUCAAACACGAAGAUUCAAUUUACAAGAAGUUAAGGGUAACGUUCGAACGAUAAAUAAUUGCCCUCAAAACGUCGAAAAAAC
RNAcentral lists this unclassified non-coding RNA (1160 nucleotides) under Bombus terrestris (buff-tailed bumblebee). Its description in RNAcentral is "misc RNA ENSBTSG00005020157.1". Lineage: Eukaryota; Metazoa; Arthropoda; Insecta; Hymenoptera; Apidae. The record is from RNAcentral.